GACGAACGCUGGCGGCGUGCUUAACACAUGCAAGUCGAACGGAAAGGCCCUGCUUUUGUGGGGUGCUCGAGUGGCGAACGGGUGAGUAACACGUGAGUAACCUGCCCUUGACUUUGGGAUAACUUCAGGAACCGGGGGUUAUUCCGGGUAGGAGCCCCUGCUUGAUGGGGGGGGGUGGGAAGUUUCGGCGGUUGGGGAUGGACUCGCGGCUUAUCAGCUUGUUGGUGGGGUAGUGGCUUACCAAGGCUUUGACGGGUAGCCGGCCUGAGAGGGUGACCGGCCACAUUGGGACUGAGAUACGGCCCAGACUCCUACGGGAGGCAGCAGUGGGGAAUAUUGCACAAUGGGCGGAAGCCUGAUGCAGCAACGCCGCGUGCGGGAUGACGGCCUUCGGGUUGUAAACCGCUUUCGCCUGUGACGAAGCGUGAGUGACGGUAAUGGGUAAAGAAGCACCGGCUAACUACGUG
Molecule: ribosomal RNA, 467 nt
Filed under: uncultured bacterium
Lineage: Bacteria
Description: partial 16S ribosomal RNA
Rfam family: Bacterial small subunit ribosomal RNA
Source: RNAcentral